This is a long non-coding RNA of Cyprinodon tularosa, 863 nucleotides long. RefSeq lists it as uncharacterized. Lineage: Eukaryota; Metazoa; Chordata; Actinopteri; Cyprinodontiformes; Cyprinodontidae. The transcript has 3 exons. The record is from RefSeq and is a predicted model, not a curated record.
AUUAACGUUCUCCUGUAAUGUUUCCACUAGAUGGCAGCAGAUCCCCACCUGAGCAACAUCUUUUUAUGCUUUGCUUCAUGUUUUACUCCAGCUGCUGCUAGUAGGGCUCCUACACCUUCAGGAAACCUCCCUUCUGCUCCCCCUCCACCUCCCCCAUCUAGGCCAGCACUGCAGGGAACAUUUUCCUCCAUAGAGCUGAUACAAGAGAGGAGAGGAAGAAGAAAGAUGAGCAGAUGGUUGAGGUUUCAAGGCCUGCAGAAAUCCCCAGCAUGCUGGACAUCCUAAAGGAGAAAGACAAGGUGAAGCUGCAGUCUGUGAAAAGAUCGUUUUUCUGGUGCAAAGAGCAGUCAGACCCAGCAGGUCUCAUCGCUGAAGCUCUUAAGCUUAAGUUCGCCCAUCGGAUUCCAAAAAACAGGAUGAGAGGAAGGAAGCGACAAAGAAGAUUGGAAGGUGGCCUUCCCAGAAGCCGAACCUCCAACUGAAACCCCUCUGGUGAGACGCAGGUCUUCAGCCUUCUGGUUCUCUGCUGGAAGUUUGAGCAGCAGAUGCUGAAACCAACCUGGAAGAAAAGGUUCCUUUGACCAGGAGAAGCUGAGCUGCUGAUCCAGGAUCUCUGUGGACUCUUAGAAGCGACUCCUUUAUGCUGAUCCUCUCUGACCUAACCUGCCUGGACCAAAUAUUCAUCAUCCCAUAGAAUCCAUGAUGCUUAUUUAAGUCUUUUCUUCAAGGGAAGAAAAGGUGGUUAUUAAACUGUGAUUUUUAUCUGCAGAGUUCUCUAAAAAAUGUAUUUCAUCUUAAUAAAAGUAUCUCCUUACUCCCUUUUUUGUGCUGAAGCACGUCUUUCUGCAAAUGACCAAGAAAAA